RNAcentral lists this unclassified non-coding RNA (390 nucleotides) under soil metagenome. RNAcentral describes it as "partial contains 5.8S ribosomal RNA, internal transcribed spacer 2, and large subunit ribosomal RNA". The stretch from base 1 to 121 matches the Rfam family "5.8S ribosomal RNA", at positions 35 to 154 of the family's 154-position model. The record is from RNAcentral.
GAUGAAGAACGCAGCGAAGUGCGAUAAGUAGUGUGAAUUGCAGAAUUUCGUGAAUCAUCGAAUCUUUGAACGCAAAUUGCACUCUCCGGUUCUCCGGGAGAGUAUGCCUGUUUGAGGGUCAGCCUAAAUAAAUUCGGCUUCGUUGCUGUGUUCUCGCCGGUAACGUUUUAGUCGGAAUUUGGGUCAUCUUAAACCGAAAGGUUUUUAAGCGACUUAAAAUUUUUUUUACGAUCCUACGAACGUUUCUAAGAUUUUCUUACACGUUCAAGGUAUCGAAUAACCCUAUUAGACGUGGCCGUCGUAUCGGAUCGCGUCCAUAAUAUUAUUCUUUAACUGACCUCAGACAGGUAAGAGUACCCGCUGAACUUAAGCAUAUCAAUAAGCGGAGGA